ACACAUGCAGUCGAGCGGUAGUAGAGAAGAUUGCUUCUCUUGAGAGCGGCGGACGGGUGAGUAAUGCCUAGGAAUCUGCCUGGUAGUGGGGGAUAACGUUCGGAAACGAACGCUAAUACCGCAUACGUCCUACGGGAGAAAGCAGGGGACCUUCGGGCCUUGCGCUAUCAGAUGAGCCUAGGUCGGAUUAGCUAGUUGGUGAGGUAAUGGCUCACCAAGGCGACGAUCCGUAACUGGUCUGAGAGGAUGAUCAGUCACACUGGAACUGAGACACGGUCCAGACUCCUACGGGAGGCAGCAGUGGGGAAUAUUGGACAAUGGGCGAAAGCCUGAUCCAGCCAUGCCGCGUGUGUGAAGAAGGUCUUCGGAUUGUAAAGCACUUUAAGUUGGGAGGAAGGGCAUUAACCUAAUACGUUAGUGUUUUGACGUUACCGACAGAAUAAGCACCGGCUAACUCUGUGCCAGCAGCCGCGGUAAUACAGAGGGUGCAAGCGUUAAUCGGAAUUACU
RNAcentral lists this ribosomal RNA (509 nucleotides) under Pseudomonas fluorescens. RNAcentral describes it as "bacterial SSU rRNA". It matches the Rfam family "Bacterial small subunit ribosomal RNA", at positions 51 to 555 of the family's 1533-position model. The record is from RNAcentral. Lineage: Bacteria; Pseudomonadati; Pseudomonadota; Gammaproteobacteria; Pseudomonadales; Pseudomonadaceae.